GAAACUUGAUAAUUUUAUGUAUUAAAAAAGGUUAAGGACUGAAAGGAAAAGUAGACCCUUGCUGUUUGAAUUUUCUGUUAAUUUGUAUUGUCUUGGGAGAAAGGCUUGAUAGUUGUGGGAAAAAAUCAUUCCCAUCCAAGUCUCAAGCACACAGCAACAGAAUAAUUGCCAGUUUCCAGAACAAAAGAGCACUUUGAAACGAUCUGUUUGAAAGUGGACUUGCUAUACCAAGAUUUCCUACUGGACAAAUUUCUUGACAAGACAAAGCCUCCAGAGGAGAUAGAAAGGAUCAACUCAGACAUCCUCCUUCCCCAGUUACAAGUAAAGAAGAAACCAAAAAAAGGGUCUUCAUAGGUAGGAAGAAAAACUUCCCCAGACAUGUUCUUCCCUGCGGUGCAGCAGUAAGCCCAUCUCCAGUCCUGGGAACAGACAACAGAAGGAAAGAGAACGGGAAGAAUGUCAUGGGAAGAAUGAGGCAUUAUAGCCAUUUUGCCACCUAUUCCACCAAAGACCGUUUUACUAUUCUACCUCUCUGCUCCUUAUUUUCACUUUAAAAAU
Molecule: non-coding RNA, 558 nt
Organism: Odocoileus virginianus texanus
Lineage: Eukaryota; Metazoa; Chordata; Mammalia; Artiodactyla; Cervidae
Source: RefSeq, a predicted model, not a curated record